AGUUUUGGUGUUUUUCUUAAUUAUAGUAUAAUAUGGUUUGCAAAAAGAAAGUAUGGGUGUUAUUUUAUUAUAUAUAUUUAUGUUAUAUGGAAAAGAUUUGUUUUGGAAAUUGAAUUUUGAGAUUAUUAUCUUUAUUAUAUAUUAGUUUAUGAAAGGGGAUUUUGGAUCUUGGCGAUGACACGCCAUCUCAUGUAACCACCCACUACUACAUUUUACACUUUGCG
This 224-nucleotide long non-coding RNA is filed under the name Prunus persica (peach). RNAcentral describes it as "long non-coding RNA (PPER_LNC002541)". The record is from RNAcentral. Lineage: Eukaryota; Viridiplantae; Streptophyta; Magnoliopsida; Rosales; Rosaceae.